RNAcentral lists this unclassified non-coding RNA (267 nucleotides) under plant metagenome. RNAcentral describes it as "partial contains small subunit ribosomal RNA, internal transcribed spacer 1, and 5.8S ribosomal RNA". The stretch from base 1 to 55 matches the Rfam family "Eukaryotic small subunit ribosomal RNA", at positions 1778 to 1831 of the family's 1831-position model. The record is from RNAcentral.
GGAAGUAAAAGUCGGUAACAAGGUCUCCGUUGGUGAACCAGCGGAGGGAUCAUUACCAGAGUUUUACAACUCCCAACCCUUCUGUGAACCUACCUAUCGUUGCUUCGGCGGACUCGCCCCAGCGUCCGGACGGCCCCGCGCCGGCCCGCGACCUGGACCCAGGCGGCCGCCGGAGACCACACAAUCCUGUAUCCAUCAGUCUCUCUGAAUCCGCCGCAAGGCAAAACAAACGAAUCAAAACUUUCAACAAUGGAUCUCUUGGUUCUG